This 246-nucleotide microRNA precursor is filed under the name Sorghum bicolor (sorghum). Its description in RNAcentral is "MIR6217 microRNA precursor family". It matches the Rfam family "MIR6217 microRNA precursor family". Lineage: Eukaryota; Viridiplantae; Streptophyta; Magnoliopsida; Poales; Poaceae. The record is from Rfam by way of RNAcentral.
UGGCUACAAAAUAACUUAUUUUGUAGCCACUUUGAGUUACGAUAAUUACUAUAUUAAUUUACAAUAUUAUAGUAACUCCUUACUAAGUGGUUUACUACAACAUUACGGUAUACUACAACAUUACGGUAAAUAUAUCCAUGUGUUAUAGUAACCCAACUAUCGUAAAUAUGUAUACAUAUUAUCGUAAAUUAGUAUAUAAAAUUAUCGUAAAUGGAGGUGGCUACAGAAUAACAUAUUUUGUAGCUA